Molecule: long non-coding RNA, 199 nt
Filed under: Elaeis guineensis (African oil palm)
Lineage: Eukaryota; Viridiplantae; Streptophyta; Magnoliopsida; Arecales; Arecaceae
Description: long non-coding RNA (EGUI_LNC010974)
Source: RNAcentral
ACCACCACGAUAGUAUUUGGAAUUUCUUACCACCAAAAACAACAUCAAAGCCGUCCAUUCUAUGGGUCCGGUACUGCUCCCGUUUCAAACUGUUAGCUGGAGGAAUCAAACCAACCAGUUUCUUAGGUUUAAGGUAAAAGCGUCGCCUGUUAUAAUGUUGUUUACUUGUGGACAAUUAAUACAAUGUCACUGAUGUUUA